CAGUAGCCGCGGUAAUACGAAGGGGGCUAGCGUUGCUCGGAAUGACUGGGCGUAAAGGGCUCGCAGGCGGUUUCUUAAGUCUGAUGUGAAAGCCCCCGGCUCAACCGGGGAGGGUCAUUGGAAACUGGGAAACUUGAGUGCAGAAGAGGAGAGUGGAAUUCCACGUGUAGCGGUGAAAUGCGUAGAGAUGUGGAGGAACACCAGUGGCGAAGGCGACUCUCUGGUCUGUAACUGACGCUGAGGAGCGAAAGCGUGGGGAGCGAACAGGAUUAGAUACCCCUGUAGUCCCUGUCUCUUAUAA
RNAcentral lists this ribosomal RNA (301 nucleotides) under uncultured bacterium. Its description in RNAcentral is "partial 16S ribosomal RNA". It matches the Rfam family "Bacterial small subunit ribosomal RNA", at positions 509 to 809 of the family's 1533-position model. The record is from RNAcentral.